CCUACGGGAGGCAGCAGUAGGGAAUCUUCCGCAAUGGACGAAAGUCUGACGGAGCAACGCCGCGUGAACGAGGAAGGCCUUCGGGUCGUAAAGCUCUGUUGUCAGGGAAGAACAAGUACCAGAGUAACUGCUGGUACCUUGACGGUACCUAACCAGAAAGCCACGGCUAACUACGUGCCAGCAGCCGCGGUAAU
This 194-nucleotide ribosomal RNA is filed under the name uncultured bacterium. Its description in RNAcentral is "partial 16S ribosomal RNA". It matches the Rfam family "Bacterial small subunit ribosomal RNA", at positions 338 to 524 of the family's 1533-position model. The record is from RNAcentral.